This 32-nucleotide non-coding RNA is filed under the name Mus musculus (house mouse). The record is from RNAcentral. Lineage: Eukaryota; Metazoa; Chordata; Mammalia; Rodentia; Muridae.
UAGGGAAAAUGCUCUGGGUGGCCAUGAGCAGU